CCUACGGGUGGCAGCAGUGAGGAAUAUUGGUCAAUGGGCGCGAGCCUGAACCAGCCAAGUAGCGUGAAGGAUGACUGCCCUACGGGUUGUAAACUUCUUUUAUAAAGGAAUAAAGUGAGGCACGUGUGCCUUUUUGUAUGUACUUUAUGAAUAAGGUUCGGCUAACUCCGUGCCAGCAGCCGCGGUAAUACGGAGGAUCCGGGCGUUAUCCGGAUUUAUUGGGUUUAAAGGGAGCGUAGAUGGGUUGUUAAGUCAGUUGUGAAAGUUUGCGGCUCAAACGUAAAAUUGCAAUUGAUACUGGGAGUCUUGAGUACAGGUGAGGUAGGCGGAAUUCGUGGUGUAGCGGUGAAAUGCUUAGAUAUCACGAAGAACUCCGAUUGCGAAGGCAGCUUACUAAUCUGCAACUGACAUUGAUGCUCGAAAGCGUGGGUAUCAAACAGGAUUAGAUACCCCUGUAGUC
RNAcentral lists this ribosomal RNA (460 nucleotides) under uncultured bacterium. Its description in RNAcentral is "partial 16S ribosomal RNA". It matches the Rfam family "Bacterial small subunit ribosomal RNA", at positions 338 to 795 of the family's 1533-position model. The record is from RNAcentral.